CAGGUUGAUAUUCCUGUACUACCGAUAACCGUUUGAGAGAAGGGAUGACACAGUAGGAUAAGUUAAGCACACUGUUGGUUAUGUGUGCCCAAGCAUUGAGGCAGUCAAAGCAGGCAAAUCCGCUUUGAUAAUGCUGGGAUGUGAUGGGGAGCGAAAUUUAGUAGCGAAGUAGCUGAUUUCACACUGUCAAGAAAAGUCUCUAUCGAGGUUAAAGGUACCCGUACCGCAAACCGACACAGGUGGGUGAGGAGAGUAUCCUAAGGCCAGCGAGAGAACUGUUGUUAAGGAACUCGGCAAAAUGACCCCGUAACUUAGGGAUAAGGGGUGCCACCAUCAGGUGGCCGCAGAGAAUAGGCCCAAGCGACUGUUUACCAAAAACAUAGGUUUCUGCUAAGUCGCAAGACGAUGUAUAGGAGCUGACGCCUGCCCGGUGCUGGAAGGUUAAGGGGAUCUGUUAGAGCAAUCGAAGCAGUGAACUUAAGCCCCAGUAAACGGCGGCCGUAACUAUAACGGUCCUAAGGUAGCGAAAUUCCUUGUCGGGUAAGUUCCGACCCGCACGAAAGGCGUAACGAUUUGGGCACUGUCUCAACAACAGACUCGGUGAAAUUGUAAUUCCGGUGAAGAUGCCGGAUACCUGCGACAGGACGGAAAGACCCCAUGGAGCUUUACUGUAGCUUGACAUUGGGUCUUGGUACUACAUGUACAGGAUAGGUGGGAGGCUUUGAAACCAGGACGCCAGUUUUGGCGGAGCCAUCCUUGGGAUACCACCCUUGUAGUACUGGGACUCUAACCAUAGGCCAUGAAUCUGGUCUUGGGACACUGUCAGGUGGGCAGUUUGACUGGGGCGGUCGCCUCCCAAAAGGUAACGGAGGCGCUCAAAGGUUCUCUCAGUACGGUCGGAAAUCGUACGUAGAGUGUAAAGGCAAAAGAGAGCUUGAUUGCAAGACAUACAGGUCGAGCAAGGAUGAAAAUCGGACUUAGUGAUCCGGUGGUUCUGCGUGGAAGGGCCAUCGCUCAACGGAUAAAAGCUACCCUGGGGAUAACAGGCUUAUCUCCCCCAAGAGUCCACAUCGACGGGGAGGUUUGGCACCUCGAUGUCGGCUCAUCACAUCCUGGGGCUGUAGUAGGUCCCAAGGGUUGGGCUGUUCGCCCAUUAAAGUGGUACGCGAGCUGGGUUCAGAACGUCGUGAGACAGUUCGGUCCCUAUCCGUCGCAGGCGUAGGAAAUUUGAGAAGACCUGUCCUUAGUACGAGAGGACCGGGAUGGACG
RNAcentral lists this ribosomal RNA (1269 nucleotides) under Clostridioides difficile. Its description in RNAcentral is "partial 23S ribosomal RNA". It matches the Rfam family "Bacterial large subunit ribosomal RNA", at positions 1426 to 2703 of the family's 2925-position model. The record is from RNAcentral. Lineage: Bacteria; Bacillati; Bacillota; Clostridia; Peptostreptococcales; Peptostreptococcaceae.